UGAAAGAAAUAAGCAUCAUUAUGUUGGCAGUCAGGGAAGAUGCUGCUUCUAAGUAGGGGAGGAAGAGAGGAGAUGCACAGGGGUGCAGGUCAGGAAUGUACAUGAGAUGUGUGGGAGGUGCCAUCUAGAUUUGGAAGGAUAUGUGGCAGUGGUGGGUUGCUCCCGGUUCUGUCCGGUUCUAUAGAACCGGUAGUAAAACCGGCAGGAGGCUCCGCCCACCUGCCCCGACGUCAUCAAGGGGCUUCUGUGCAUGCGUAGAAACAUGCGAAAGUAAAGUGUUUCAGAUGUCACCAAAGCAGCAGGUCAAACAAUCCAUCAGGUUGUACAAGGGGAGACAAAGACUAACUAGCUUCAUUCACUUUCUUCAUAUUUACUGUAACAACAACAACCAGGAAGAAAAGACUACAGUAUCUGCAGCCACCAUAUGGUACUAGAGAAAGAUGUGGCUCCUUUAAAGAAAACCAGGCAGAUGCUAUGUUCACA
This is a long non-coding RNA of Pantherophis guttatus, 483 nucleotides long. RefSeq lists it as uncharacterized. NCBI's taxonomy places the organism in Eukaryota, Metazoa, Chordata, Lepidosauria, Squamata, Colubridae. The record is from RefSeq and is a predicted model, not a curated record.